RNAcentral lists this ribosomal RNA (497 nucleotides) under uncultured bacterium. RNAcentral's name for it is "partial 16S ribosomal RNA". It matches the Rfam family "Bacterial small subunit ribosomal RNA", at positions 28 to 507 of the family's 1533-position model. The record is from RNAcentral.
GAUGAACGCUGGCGGCGUGCCUAAUACAUGCAAGUCGAGCGAACGGACGAGAAGCUUGCUUCUCUGAUGUUAGCGGCGGACGGGUGAGUAACACGUGGAUAACCUACCUAUAAGACUGGGAUAACUUCGGGAAACCGGAGCUAAUACCGGAUAAUAUUUUGAACCGCAUGGUUCAAAAGUGAAAGACGGUCUUGCUGUCACUUAUAGAUGGAUCCGCGCUGCAUUAGCUAGUUGGUAAGGUAACGGCUUACCAAGGCAACGAUGCAUAGCCGACCUGAGAGGCUGAUCGGCCACACUGGAGCUGAGCCACGGUCCAGACUCCUACGAGAGGCAGCAGUAGGGAAUCUGCCGCAGUGGGCGAAAGCCUGACGGAGCAACGCCGCGUGAGUGAUGAAGGUCUUCGGAUCGUAAAACUCUGUUAUUAGGGAAGAACAUAUGUGUAAGUAACUGUGCACAUCUUGACGGUACCUAAUCAGAAAGCCACGGCUAACUACGUG